Molecule: ribosomal RNA, 114 nt
Organism: Aotus nancymaae (Ma's night monkey)
Lineage: Eukaryota; Metazoa; Chordata; Mammalia; Primates; Aotidae
Source: Ensembl
GAUUAUGGCCAUACCAUCAUGAAUUCACCUGAUCUGAUUUUGGAACCUAAGCAGGGCUGGGCCUGGUUAGUACUAGGAUGAGGGACUACCUGGGACUGCUGGGUGCUGUAGGUG